This 281-nucleotide long non-coding RNA is filed under the name Coffea arabica (coffee). RNAcentral's name for it is "long non-coding RNA (CARA_LNC007031)". Lineage: Eukaryota; Viridiplantae; Streptophyta; Magnoliopsida; Gentianales; Rubiaceae. The record is from RNAcentral.
CUAGGAGGGGAACACCGCGCGAUGCGCGGUGUAAUUUUCAAGUUUGCCCAGAAAUGUUCAAUUAUUUAAACUGAGAUAUUCAAUAUAAAAAGUUACGUGAAGGUGCAUCCAAAUGUUUGUAAUUAUUUUUUGUAAUUUUAUUAAGCAAUGAAGAGAGGCACAAUUUCAGUCUGGUUGCUAAAUGACAGUCAUUUUUGGUAUGCUGACUGAUUUGGACAGCAAUGGCAAUGUCAUUAGUUUGAAAAUAAUAUAACACUGUGUAAUGCUGCCUUAUAUUUUUU